AUCAGAAUGGCACUUCUUUCUAAGAACAAAUUGAAGUUUAUUGAUGGUAUAAUCAAGGUUUUUGCUGCAACAAAUCCUCUGUAUUCUGUUUUGGGAAAGAUGCAAUACUAUGGUCCUUUCUUAGAUCACACACUCAUUGUCUCAGUCAAUUGCACAAAGUAUUUUUUGGAAAGAUAAAGCCUAUGAUGUAUGGAAUGAUUUGUGAGAUAGAUUCUCACAAGGAGACAUUUUUUGUAUAUCAGAUUUGUAGGAGGAGAUAUAUGCUUUUAAGCAAG
RNAcentral lists this unclassified non-coding RNA (275 nucleotides) under Hevea brasiliensis (rubber tree). Lineage: Eukaryota; Viridiplantae; Streptophyta; Magnoliopsida; Malpighiales; Euphorbiaceae. The record is from RNAcentral.